GGCCAGGUCACACUGAAAGCAACGGUUAUCGUUUGAUCACCGAAGUUAAGCAUUGUCGAGGCCAGUCAGUACUUCAAUGGGGGAUCACUUGGGAAUACC
Non-coding RNA from Acanthosepion pharaonis, 99 nucleotides. NCBI's taxonomy places the organism in Eukaryota, Metazoa, Mollusca, Cephalopoda, Sepiida, Sepiidae. The record is from the annotation of a GenBank genome assembly.